Molecule: ribosomal RNA, 301 nt
Filed under: uncultured bacterium
Lineage: Bacteria
Description: partial 16S ribosomal RNA
Rfam family: Bacterial small subunit ribosomal RNA
Source: RNAcentral
CAGUCGCCGCGGGAAUACGUAGGUGGCAAGCGUUGUCCGGAAUUAUUGGGCGUAAAGGGCUCGCAGGCAGUUUCUUAAGUCUGAUGUGAAAGCCCCCGGCUCAACCUUGGAACUGCCUUUGAUACUGUUUGUCUUGAGUUCGAGAGAGGUAAGUGGAACUGCGAGUGUAGAGGUGAAAUUCGUAGAUAUUCGCAAGAACACCAGUGGCGAAGGCGGCUUACUGGCUCGAAACUGACGCUGAGGCGCGAAAGCGUGGGGAGCAAACAGGAUUAGAUACCCCAGUAGUCCCUGUCUCUUAUAC